Molecule: long non-coding RNA, 3458 nt
Organism: Peromyscus californicus insignis
Lineage: Eukaryota; Metazoa; Chordata; Mammalia; Rodentia; Cricetidae
Exons: 3
Source: RefSeq, a predicted model, not a curated record
UGGGGAUAAGAAAAUAAUCAGCAGUAAUCAAAAUAGCUCUUCUUAUAAAAUUUAUACAUUUAUUGUAUGUGUGUACAUGCAUGCAUGUGGAGGUCAGAGGAAAACUUGUGGGAGCUGGUUCUUUUUUCUACCAUGUACAUCUUUGGGGUCAAACUUGUCACAGGCACUUUGAACCCCUGAGCUAAAACAGCCAUUUUUAUGGCACAUGGAGUCUUACCAGGGGAGGGAAACAAUAAAUAAGUGGUUAAAAACAUUGUGUUGCAGGUAGUAAUAAGUACUAUUGAGAAAGUGGAGAACAGUGUGAUAAGGGCUCCCAAGAGGGAAGAACAUAGGGGUUUUUUUUAUAAUUAAUUAAUUUACUUUUACCAGUAGAAGAUUAUCUAGGAAGGUGGUAUAUGAGUAAAGACCCAAAGGAGUGAGAAGAAACCCCAGGGAUGUCUGUGUGAAGCAGUAGGAACGUUAGUGAGGUGGUGUUUCCCUGUUAUAUCUCCAGAGGAACGUAGCAGGCAAGCCAGUGUGUCCAGUGUGAAGAGAACAUGAAAGCAAGUAGGAAGAAAUGAGGCUAGGAGGGUGGCAGAGUAGACUCUGGAACACUCAGGCUCUUACCACCCCUUGUAAGAACUUUUAAAGGCACCAGACGCUUCUACAGAACUGAAUUGUGAUCUGGCUUGUGCAAUCAAGAUCAUUUUUCCUAUUGCUGAAGAAGAGAAAAUAAGUAAAGGGGCUGUUGCAAUCCUGAAGCAGAAAUAGUGCUUGUUUUAUUUUUGUUUGUUUUGUUUUCCACGAUAAAUGAGAGUGGGCGAGGGGGGCCAGCAGCUUGCAUUUGGACAUAUUAAGUUUGAAAUGCAGAGCAGACAUCCAAGUAGACAUGUCAACAGCUUGCUGGGGAUCCAAGUCUGUAGUUCUGGGCAAAGGCCUGGGCUGGAGUUCUGUCUGAGUUGUUAGCAUACAGUGUGUACAGCCAAGCGACAAGUCAGAUGAAGUCAGAAACUAGAGGAAAACAGAAAAGGGGAGUCAUGGAUGAGAGAAUUAUGGAGCCGCACCAGCAUUAAAGAUGUGGACCUUGAGGAAGGAUCUUCAGCAAAGGAUGCUGGGAAGGAGUUAGUGAGGCAGGCAGAAACGCAGGUGUGAUUUCCAGAAGGGAGAUGAAGAGAGAAUCAAUUAUGCCAAGUGCUGUUGAUAGAAAGUUGAGUGAGGACUGGUUACUGAUUAUGUCUGAUGCGCUAAUUUAGCCUCUCCGUUCUUCAGUCUCAGCUUACUCCUUCAAAUCUCAUCCAAGCGCAUUUUUUUUUUUGGUACCUCUCUGCAUCAGCCAGCAUUUCCACAUCCUUUUGUCUCUUCUUGCAGAAAUCCUUCAAGCCUUCACCACCUGUUCUCCAGAUCACAGCAGUAAAUGGCUGCAGUGCCAGAAGUCUUAUGCAGAAGCCUUUUUAUAAAGGGAAGGUGAUCAGACAAAGGAAGCCUGUGAAGUUUGAUAUUGAUAUAUAUGUAUUCUAAGGAGUUUAAAAUAUAACCAUUCUAAUGCACUAGCUACCAUAGAAAUACUGAUUAAAAUAAGCUGGCUACCCCACUCCCCUAAACCAAAUUGGCAUUUUAAAAGGCAUACUCUGCUAUGGACAAGACAUAGCAGGCAUGCCUUGCCUUGCUGGUGGAAGUGUUAAUUGCUAAAACUUUUCCAAGGGCAGCUUGGUAACACAGAAGAAUAAUUUUUGUAGGUUUUUGUUUUCUUGACACUUUUGGGUCCAAUAAUUUUUCCUUUAACAGUUUAUUGUAAGGAAAGCACCAUCUAGACUUCUAUAAAACGAUGCUCACAUCAGUGCUGUUUCUUAUACAACUUAGGAUAUGGAAUUAAGUAAAACUUUCUAUUUCUGUAGAACACUGAAACUCCUGAGUAUUGUUUCUGACAAGACUUACAGGCAUAAAACAGCAAAGAAAAUCAAAAUCAUUUAAUAUUCCACUUUAGAGCGUAAGUCAGCAAAUUCUGACACAGAUUCAGAACAAAACUCCUGCAGAAAAAGAAUUUUAACAAUAAGGGAACCUGCCUACAAAAUGUAGUCAAAGAAAAAAAAAAAGAAAUGAAACUAACUAUAAAAUGAUGCUAUGAUUCUACUGUUUAAAAGAAAGAGAAUAGAAAAAAUAUUUAAAAAUCUAUCAAUAAAAGUCUCACUAGUAAUCAUUUCAAGAUUCUCAAUAAUAAUUAUUCUUUAACCUGCUUGACCUUGUUGGACUUUUUACUCAUUCUAGAAUUUUGCUGAGGGCCCGCCAUGCAGAUAUUUGGGAUUCAUUAAUGAGAACAAAUAAUUCCCACCCUUGAGUGUUUACAACCUAUUGAAGAGACACAGCUGAUAGACUGUAAUGAAGAAGAAAUUAUAUAACCUCUUAUAAGAGGUGAUGAGUGCUGGAGGAAAACAGUAAGUGCAAACAAGGGGCUGCAAGUGUAUGGCUGUGUGAUGGUUAACCUUCAUCAUCAGCUUGGCUUGAUUAGGAGUCACCAUGAGAGAACACCUCUUGGCAUGACAGUGUGGGCAUUUCCAGAAAUGUUUAACUGAAAAAGGAAGACUCACCCUAAAUGUGGGCAGCACUGUCCCUGAGCUAGAGUUCCAGACUGAUUGAGGAGAAAGCCAGCUGAGCACCAGUGUUCAUCUCUCUAGGCUUCCUGACUGUGGUUGCCAUGUGACCAGCUACCACAUGCUCCUACAGCUCCAUCAUCCCUGCCAUCCCUGUAGCAUUAAACUGUGAGCCAAAAUAAACCCUUCUUUCCUGAAGUGGCUUUUGUCACCUCUCUUGUCAAAGCAAUGAGAAAAAUAAGGAGCAUGGACCGCAGCUUUCAAUCCAGCAGUCAUGGCGGAUCUCACCGAAGAGGAGGCAUUUAAGGAAAACAUUACAGACAUGAGGGAUUACCACCUGAAUGUUGAGGAAGAAACCUUCCAGUUGUUACAUAAAUGGAUAAAAUAGAAUUUUUCCUCCAACCAAGGCUAGAAGUGAGGCAGAAUAUUCAAUAUGAAAAAUGCCUGUGAAGCAAAUCCCACAGCUCCAUGAUGACAAAAGCCUGCAGUCUUAGAAUCCAAGUGAAUAGAUAUGCCUCCUCUCUUUUGUGAGAUCCCACAGAAAUACAUGAAAUUAUAUUAAUGAGAAAGAAGCUAUAACAUGCAUGUACAUUGAAAAGAGCCAGCAAGAGAAAACAUUGUCUUGAAUGGGAGAAGAAAAAGAACAAAAUAGAUUGAAUUGGUGGAAAAAUGCAACAAGGUAUUCAGAAUAUAUUAAUGGGGCUAAUAAAUAUUCUCCAAAUGAAGUGAAAUUGCCAGAAGAAAUAAAAAUGUGGGAUCAGCAGAAGCCAAAAUCAGAAGCAACUCAAAAGACCUCCAUCUUGGAAUGGUGGAGCUCUGUCUUCUUCUUCUUCUUCUUCUUCUUCUUCUUCUUCUUCUUCUUCUUCUUCUUCUUCUUCUUCUUCUUCUCCU